This 124-nucleotide microRNA precursor is filed under the name Hordeum vulgare. RNAcentral describes it as "microRNA MIR1122". It matches the Rfam family "MIR1120/MIR1122 microRNA precursor family". Lineage: Eukaryota; Viridiplantae; Streptophyta; Magnoliopsida; Poales; Poaceae. The record is from RNAcentral.
UAGCUACUCCCUCCGUCCGAAAUUAUUUGUCACAAGAAUUAAUGAAUCUAGAUGUAAUUCAGUUAUACAUACAUCCAUUUCUAUCCAUUCUUGAGACAAGUAAUUCAGAACGGGGAAGUAUAUU